RNAcentral lists this ribosomal RNA (506 nucleotides) under uncultured bacterium. RNAcentral describes it as "bacterial SSU rRNA". It matches the Rfam family "Bacterial small subunit ribosomal RNA", at positions 28 to 487 of the family's 1533-position model. The record is from RNAcentral.
GAUGAACGCUGGCGGCGUGCCUAAUACAUGCAAGUCGAACGCAUUGUGGUUGAAAUGAUAUGAAGAACUUGUUCAGAUUUGAUUUUCAACAUUGCAAUGAGUGGCGAACGGGUGAGUAACACGUGGGAAACCUACCUCUUAGCAGGGGAUAACAUUUGGAAACAAAUGCUAAUACCGUAUAAAUAAUUAAAACCGCAUGGUUUUAGUUUAAAAGAUGGUCUUGCUAUCACUAAGAGAUGGUCCCGCGGUGUAUUAGUUAGUUGGUGAGGUAAUGGCUCACCAAGACAAUGAUACAUAGCCGAGUUGAGAGACUGACCGGCCACAAUGGGACUGAGACACGGCCCAUACUCCUACGGGAGGCAGCAGUAGGGAAUCUUCCACAAUGGACGAAAGUCUGAUGGAGCAACGCCGCGUGUGUGAUGAAGGGUUUCGGCUCGUAAAACACUGUUGUAAGAGAAGAAUGACAUUGAGAGUAACUGUUCAAUGUGUGACGGUAUCUUACCAAG